GUGCAGCAGGCGCGAAUACUUUACAAUGUGCGAAAGCACGAUAAGGGAACUCUGAGUGCCUCCUAAGGAGGCUGUUCAGGUGUCUAAAAGCACCUGGAGUAAGGGCUGGGUAAGACCGGUGCCAGCCGCCGCGGUAACACCGGCAGCCCAGGUGGUAGCCACUUUUAUUGGGUCUAAAGCGUCCGUAGCCGGUUGAGUAAGUUCCUUGGGAAAUUUGGCUGCUCAACAGUCAAGCUUCCAGGGAAUACUGCUCGACUUGGGACUGGGAGAGGUCAGAGGUACUCCAGGGGUAGGGUGAAAUCCAUUAAUCCCUGGGGGACCACCGGUAGCGAAGGCGUCUGACCAGACCAGGUCCGACGGUGAGGGACGAAGGCUAGGGUCGCGAACCGGAUUAGAUACCCGUGUAGU
Molecule: ribosomal RNA, 408 nt
Filed under: uncultured microorganism
Description: bacterial SSU rRNA
Rfam family: Archaeal small subunit ribosomal RNA
Source: RNAcentral